GACAAUCGCGUACACUUUUGACUUGGUGUCAGUUAGUUGUUACAUAUUUUGAAAAAAAUCUCCAUUGAUUUCAGAUGUAGAAUGGCUUCAAAAAAUGUUUUAAAGCUAUUCUCUAUAAAUGAUUUACUCGACAAUGAUAAUGAAAUCAUGAAAAAGGCUGAAAAUGCCUUGGAAUCGAAUCAUGUGGAAAGUAUGAAGUUUGAUGCUAACUUGAUGAUGAUAAGAGGAAGAGGAGAAGUUCAUGCAAGCAUGAAAGAUAAAUUCCAUCAUGUUAAAAUCACACUGAAUAAAUCUGAAGAUAUCAUAUCUACAAAUUGUGCUUUUCCUAGAGGAAUAAAAUGUCAUCAUAUCGGCCACAUUAGCUCUUGGACACUACAAUAUAUCUGUGACGGACAAGGAAUAUGAUCCACUGUGAGCAGAAAACUUAUCGCUGCUAUAAGAUUUUUAUAUGAAACAGUACCUGCCAAAACUUACACACAAUCUUAUAUCAGCUGAAACUUGACUGAUUAUCUGGGUAUAAAAUUAUACCCAGAUAAUCAUGUUAAGAUAAAGUGUAUUAGAUAUAUGUAAUAAAUAUUCAGAAUGUACCUUCACCAAUAUUUCUGUAAUAGUAUUGAAUAUAGUAACUGUUGGGGACAAGCU
Molecule: long non-coding RNA, 642 nt
Filed under: Leptinotarsa decemlineata (Colorado potato beetle)
Lineage: Eukaryota; Metazoa; Arthropoda; Insecta; Coleoptera; Chrysomelidae
Description: uncharacterized LOC111515836
Source: RNAcentral